This is a long non-coding RNA of Equus caballus (horse), 1586 nucleotides long. NCBI's taxonomy places the organism in Eukaryota, Metazoa, Chordata, Mammalia, Perissodactyla, Equidae. The record is from Ensembl.
UCAUUCAUGGAUCUGGCAGUUAUUUAAAGAGUGCUCAUGGAGUAUUCUGGACUGUGUUGGUCUCUGAAGGCAUUUGAAAAGAAGUUAGACAUCUGCCUGUCUGUCCCCUUCUGGCUCUCUAGAAGAUUAGCCCUGAGCUAACAUCCACUGUCAAUCCUCCUCUUUUUGCUGAGGAAGACUGGCCCUGAGCUAACAUCUGUGCCCAUCUUCCUGUACUUUAUACGUGGGAUGCCUAUCCACAGCAUGGCUUGCCAAGCGGUGCCAUGUCCACACCUGGGAUCUGAACUGGCGAACCCCGGGCCACUGAAGCGGAACGUGCACACUUAACCACUGCACCACCGGGCCAGCCCCACUUAACCAACUCUUGAUGUUACCUUCUGUCAUAGGCUGAAUAAUGGUUCCCCAAACAUAUCCAUGUUCUAAACCCCAGAACCCGUGAAUAUGUUGCCUUAUAUUGCAAAAAGGACUUUGCAGAUGGGAUUAAAUUAAGGAUCCUGAGGUGAGGAAGUUACGCUGGGUUAUCUGUUUGGCCUGAUGUGAUCACAAGGGUCCUUAAAAGAGGGACUCAGGAGAAGUCACAGGCAGAGAAGGUGCUGUGAUGACAGGAGCAGACCCGGAGUGAUGAGCUUUGGCUGUGGAAGAAGGAGCCACAAGUCAAGAAAUCCAGGUGGCCGCUAGAAGCCGAGAAAAGCAGGAAACACGUUCUCCCUCAGAGCCUCCAGAAGCGACCAGCCCUGCCAACACCUUGACUUGAGCUUAGUGAGAUGGAGUUUGGACUUCUGACCUCCAGAACUGUUAGAGAAUAGAUUUGUGUUGUUUUAAGCAAUUGUAUUUGUGGUAAUUUGUUACAGUGGCAACAGGAAAUGAAUGUACCUUCCUUGUAAAGGAAUGUGACGUAGUAUAUCUCCUGUGUUCUUAGAGAGGGUGAUUUAAUCUGAUUGGUAAAUUCUGGAAUACUAAACUGAGCCUGAGUGGCUUGGGUUCAUUCUCCUUCCUCUUUGGGAGCCGGUCAGCCCGAAAAAGCGCAAGUUCUCCUUCUUGCAGGACAGGAUCACAUGAUCAGACCUGCUCACCAGAGUCAGUGCUGCUGGGCCUGGCUGGCUCAGUUUAUGUAAUUCUGUGGUUCAGGAUCAGUAAGCUCAUUUGGCUAUCAUGCUAAGCUACAUUCUCCAGUGGCUUUUUAUCAGAAUAAGGUGAUAUUUUGGCCCCCACGACCACUUCUUUGUCUUUUUUCUCUCUUCGUACAUAACUCAAGCAUGGCGAAAGGGUGAAUUUGAAGAUAAUGGAUUGAGCCAAAAAUGAUAUUCUCUCCUCUUCCAGCUCCAAAUUUCUUUUUCUUUUUUGUUUAUAAAGAUUGGCACCUGAGCUAACAUCUAUUGCCAGUCUUUUUUUCUUUUUCCUCCUCUUCUCCCUGAAGCCCCCCAGUACAUAGUUGUAUAUUUCAGUUGUAGGUCCUUCUAGUUGUGGCAUGUGGGACGCCAUCUCAGCAUGGCCUGAUGAGUGGUGCCGUGUCUGUGCCCAGGAUCCGAACCGGCAAAACCCUGGGCUGCCGAAGUGGAGCGUGUGAACUAACCACUCGGCCGUGG